GCGGGUGUGGUGAAAUUGGUAGACACGCUUGACUUAGGAUCAAGUGCCUAACAGCGUGGGGGUUCGAGUCCCUCCACCCGCA
Molecule: transfer RNA, 82 nt
Filed under: Flavobacteriales bacterium
Lineage: Bacteria; Pseudomonadati; Bacteroidota; Flavobacteriia; Flavobacteriales
Description: tRNA-Leu
Rfam family: tRNA
About the family: Transfer RNA (tRNA) molecules are approximately 80 nucleotides in length. Their secondary structure includes four short double-helical elements and three loops (D, anti-codon, and T loops). Further hydrogen bonds mediate the characteristic L-shaped molecular structure. tRNAs have two regions of fundamental functional importance: the anti-codon, which is responsible for specific mRNA codon recognition, and the 3' end, to which the tRNAs corresponding amino acid is attached (by aminoacyl-tRNA synthetases). tRNAs cope with the degeneracy of the genetic code in two manners: having more than one tRNA (with a specific anti-codon) for a particular amino acid; and 'wobble' base-pairing, i.e. permitting non-standard base-pairing at the 3rd anti-codon position.
Source: RNAcentral